UACGGGGGGCAAGCGUUGUUCGGAAUUACUGGGCGUAAAGGGCUCGUAGGCGGCCAACUAAGUCGGACGUGAAAUCCCUCGGCUUAACCGGGGAACUGCGUCCGAUACUGGAUGGCUUGAGUUCGGGAGAGGGAUGCGGAAUUCCAGGUGUAGCGGUGAAAUGCGUAGAUAUCUGGAGGAACACCGGUGGCGAAGGCGGCAUCCUGGACCGACACUGACGCUGAGGAGCGAAAGCCAGGGGAGCAAACGGG
This 251-nucleotide ribosomal RNA is filed under the name uncultured bacterium. Its description in RNAcentral is "partial 16S ribosomal RNA". It matches the Rfam family "Bacterial small subunit ribosomal RNA", at positions 526 to 776 of the family's 1533-position model. The record is from RNAcentral.